GACGAACGCUGGCGGCGUGCCUAAUACAUGCAAGUCGAACGAGAGCACCCGGUGCUUGCCCUGGUCAAUCUAGUGGCGAACGGGUGAGUAACACGUGGGUAACCUGCCCAUCAGAGGGGGAUAACAUCCGGAAACGGAUGCUAAAACCGCAUAGGUCUUCGAACCGCAUGGUUUGAAGAGGAAAAGAGGCGCAAGCUUCUGCUGAUGGAUGGACCCGCGGUGCAUUAGCUAGUUGGUGAGGUAACGGCUCACCAAGGCCGUGAUGCAUAGCCGACCUGAGAGGGUGAUCGGCCACAUUGGAACUGAGACACGGCCCAAACUCCUACGGGAGGCAGCAGUAGGGAAUCUUCCGCAAUGGACGCAAGUCUGACGGAGCAACGCCGCGUGAGUGAAGAAGGUCUUCGGAUCGUAAAACUCUGUUGUUAGAGAAGAACAAGUGCUAGAGUAACUGUUAGCGCCUUGACGGUAUCUAACCAGAAAGCCACGGCUAACUACGUG
Molecule: ribosomal RNA, 498 nt
Filed under: uncultured bacterium
Lineage: Bacteria
Description: partial 16S ribosomal RNA
Rfam family: Bacterial small subunit ribosomal RNA
Source: RNAcentral